Molecule: non-coding RNA, 32 nt
Filed under: Homo sapiens (human)
Lineage: Eukaryota; Metazoa; Chordata; Mammalia; Primates; Hominidae
Source: RNAcentral
AGGGCCUCGGCACUCUCUGGAAAGCAGGCUGA